GAUGAACGCUGACAGAAUGCUUAACACAUGCAAGUCUUUGGCGAAGCUGUGCUUGCACAGCCUAGCCAAGGCGGACGGGUGAGUAACGCGUAAGGAACUUGCCCUGCAGUCAGGGAUAACAGACGGAAACGACUGAUAAGACCUGGUAAAGUCAGGCGGACUCAUGUCCAGCCUGAUGAAAAGAGAUGCUGCAGGAGAGCCUUGCGUCCUAUUAGCUUGUUGGUGGGGUAACGGCCCACCAAGGCGAUGAUAGGUAGCCGGCCUUAGAGGGUGGACGGCCACAAGGGGACUGAGAUACGGCCCUUACUCCUACGGGAGGCAGCAGUGGGGAAUAGUGGACAAUGGGGGCAACCCUGAUCCAGCAAUUCUGUGUUCACGAUGAAGGUUUUCGGAUUGUAAAGUGCUUUCAGCAGGGAAGAAAAAAAUGACGGUACCUGCAGAAGAAGCGACGGCUAAAUACGUG
Molecule: ribosomal RNA, 463 nt
Filed under: uncultured bacterium
Lineage: Bacteria
Description: partial 16S ribosomal RNA
Rfam family: Bacterial small subunit ribosomal RNA
Source: RNAcentral